Molecule: unclassified non-coding RNA, 550 nt
Filed under: Hevea brasiliensis (rubber tree)
Lineage: Eukaryota; Viridiplantae; Streptophyta; Magnoliopsida; Malpighiales; Euphorbiaceae
Source: RNAcentral
CUGGACUCUCUUCUUCUUUUUCCUUUUCAUUCUCCACUAUAUAAGUACACCCCACCACCCAACAUUUACUCCACUCACGCUUUUUCGUCUUCACUAUUCUCCAUUGAAAAACUCAAAAACAAGUUUUCGCAGAGAGAAGAAUCAGUCGGAAGAAGGUGGUGAAUUUGUCAAAUCGGAGAAGGAGAAUAGUGAAUCUCUGUAUGUCAGAGGAUUACUACUACUACUAUUACAGUAACAAGUACUACGGCGGUUACGGUGAACUUACCAAUCCAUUACAAUGGCCUCAGCUCAGGAAAAGACGACGGUUUCUGCCCCUUCACGAAAUGCUUCCGCCGCUUCUGAAACUGAAUGGAAUGCUGGUGGAACCGUAACUGAUGUUUCUGAUCUUUCAUCCACCAGAUCGGCUAGUUCUGCUGCUCCCUCUACUUUGACGGCUGUGAUUGAUUCUAUUGAUCGUCCUUCUGCGCAAAAUCAGCAGCCUGCUGUGAAAGGACUGCCUACCUUAUUGAGGGCUCAAACUCACCAUCCCUUGGACCCCUUAACUGCUGCU